CCUACGGGUGGCUGCAGUGGGGAAUAUUGGACAAUGGGCGAAAGCCUGAUCCAGCCAUGCCGCGUGUGUGAAGAAGGCCUUCGGGUUGUAAAGCACUUUCAGUGGGGAAGAAAGCCUUGGGGCUAAUACCCUCGAGGAAGGACAUCACCCACAGAAGAAGCACCGGCUAACUCCGUGCCAGCAGCCGCGGUAAUACGGAGGGUGCGAGCGUUAAUCGGAAUUACUGGGCGUAAAGCGCGCGUAGGCGGUCUGAUAAGCCGGUUGUGAAAGCCCCGGGCUCAACCUGGGAACGGCAUCCGGAACUGUCAGGCUAGAGUGCAGGAGAGGAAGGUAGAAUUCCCGGUGUAGCGGUGAAAUGCGUAGAGAUCGGGAGGAAUACCAGUGGCGAAGGCGGCCUUCUGGACUGACACUGACGCUGAGGUGCGAAAGCGUGGGUAGCAAACAGGAUUAGGUACCCCUGUAGUC
Molecule: ribosomal RNA, 465 nt
Filed under: Vreelandella stevensii
Lineage: Bacteria; Pseudomonadati; Pseudomonadota; Gammaproteobacteria; Oceanospirillales; Halomonadaceae
Description: partial 16S ribosomal RNA
Rfam family: Bacterial small subunit ribosomal RNA
Source: RNAcentral